ACUUCUUAAAUAUCUGCAAAAUGACCUUGUUCAUCAUAGGAAAGAACUAAUUAAAUUUGGUUGGAAUCAUCUCAAACGUGAAGACAGUGCUAGUAAGCAGUGGGCCUUUGUCAAUGUUUGCCACUUCCUGGAGGCCUAUCAGGCCCCAGAAAAAAUUAUUCUUCAGGUCUUUGUUGCACUUCUUAGAACUUGCCAGCCUGAAAAUAAACUGCUGGUCAAGCAGGCCCUUGAUAUACUAAUGCCAG
Molecule: unclassified non-coding RNA, 245 nt
Filed under: Hevea brasiliensis (rubber tree)
Lineage: Eukaryota; Viridiplantae; Streptophyta; Magnoliopsida; Malpighiales; Euphorbiaceae
Source: RNAcentral